This 1374-nucleotide ribosomal RNA is filed under the name human gut metagenome. Its description in RNAcentral is "bacterial SSU rRNA". It matches the Rfam family "Bacterial small subunit ribosomal RNA". The record is from RNAcentral.
CAUGAGGUAGCAAUACCUUGAUGGCGACCGGCGCACGGGUGAGUAACGCGUAUGCAACCUGCCUGAUACCGGGGUAUAGCCCAUGGAAACGUGGAUUAACACCCCAUAGUACUUUUAUCCUGCCUGGGAUGUGAGUUAAAUGUUCAAGGUAUCGGAUGGGCAUGCGUCCUAUUAGUUAGUUGGCGGGGUAACAGCCCACCAAGACGAUGAUAGGUAGGGGUUCUGAGAGGAAGGUCCCCCACAUUGGAACUGAGACACGGUCCAAACUCCUACGGGAGGCAGCAGUGAGGAAUAUUGGUCAAUGGACGUAAGUCUGAACCAGCCAAGUCGCGUGAGGGAAGACUGCCCUAUGGGUUGUAAACCUCUUUUAUAAGGGAAGAAUAAGUUCUACGUGUAGAAUGAUGCCUGUACCUUAUGAAUAAGCAUCGGCUAACUCCGUGCCAGCAGCCGCGGUAAUACGGAGGAUGCGAGCGUUAUCCGGAUUUAUUGGGUUUAAAGGGUGCGUAGGCGGUUUAUUAAGUUAGUGGUUAAAUAUUUGAGCUAAACUCAAUUGUGCCAUUAAUACUGGUAAACUGGAGUACAGACGAGGUAGGCGGAAUAAGUUAAGUAGCGGUGAAAUGCAUAGAUAUAACUUAGAACUCCGAUAGCGAAGGCAGCUUACCAGACUGUAACUGACGCUGAUGCACGAGAGCGUGGGUAGCGAACAGGAUUAGAUACCCUGGUAGUCCACGCCGUAAACGAUGCUCACUGGUUCUGUGCGAUAUAUUGUACGGGAUUAAGCGAAAGUAUUAAGUGAGCCACCUGGGGAGUACGUCGGCAACGAUGAAACUCAAAGGAAUUGACGGGGGCCCGCACAAGCGGAGGAACAUGUGGUUUAUUCUCUUCGGAGCGUUUUUCAAGGUGCUGCAUGGUUGUCGUCAGCUCGUGCCGUGAGGUGUCGGGUUAAGUCCCAUAACGAGCGCAACCCUUACCGUUAGUUGCUAGCAUGUAAUGAUGAGCACUCUAACGGGACUGCCACCGUAAGGUGAGAGGAAGGCGGGGAUGACGUCAAAUCAGCACGGCCCUUACACCCAGGGCUACACACGUGUUACAAUGGCCGGUACAGAGGGCCGCUACCAGGUGACUGGAUGCCAAUCUCAAAAGCCGGUCGUAGUUCGGAUUGGAGUCUGUAACCCGACUCCAUGAAGUUGGAUUCGCUAGUAAUCGCGCAUCAGCCAUGGCGCGGUGAAUACGUUCCCGGGCCUUGUACACACCGCCCGUCAAGCCAUGGAAGCCGGGGGUGCCUGAAGUCCGUAACCGCGAGGAUCGGCCUAGGGCAAAACUGGUAACUGGGGCUAAGUCGUAACAAGGUAGCCGUACCGGAAGGUGCGGCUG